GAUGAACGCUAGCUACAGGCUUAACACAUGCAAGUCGAGGGGAAACGAUAUUGGAAGCUUGCUUCUGAUAGGCGUCGACCGGCGCACGGGUGAGUAACGCGUAUCCAACCUGCCCAUCACUUGGGGAUAACCUUGCGAAAGUAAGACUAAUACCCAAUGAAGUCUCUAGAAGACAUCUGAAAGAGAUUAAAGAUUUAUCGGUGAUGGAUGGGGAUGCGUCUGAUUAGCUUGUUGGCGGGGUAACGGCCCACCAAGGCGACGAUCAGUAGGGGUUCUGAGAGGAAGGUCCCCCACAUUGGAACUGAGACACGGUCCAAACUCCUACGGGAGGCAGCAGUGAGGAAUAUUGGUCAAUGGACGAGAGUCUGAGCCAGCCAAGUAGCGUGCAGGAUGACGGCCCUAUGGGUUGUAAACUGCUUUUAUAAGGGAAUAAAGUGAGUCUCGUGAGACUUUUUGCAUGUACCUUAUGAAUAAGGACCGGCUAAUUCCGUGCCAGCG
RNAcentral lists this ribosomal RNA (498 nucleotides) under uncultured bacterium. Its description in RNAcentral is "bacterial SSU rRNA". It matches the Rfam family "Bacterial small subunit ribosomal RNA", at positions 28 to 513 of the family's 1533-position model. The record is from RNAcentral.